This 92-nucleotide ribosomal RNA is filed under the name Microcebus murinus (gray mouse lemur). Lineage: Eukaryota; Metazoa; Chordata; Mammalia; Primates; Cheirogaleidae. The record is from RNAcentral.
AUCUACGGUCAUACCACCCUGAAUGUGACCAAUCUCAUCUGAUCUGGGAAGCCACGCAGGGUUAGGCCUGGUUAGUUCUUGGAUGGAAGGUA